This 41-nucleotide ribosomal RNA is filed under the name Diplodia sapinea. RNAcentral describes it as "partial 28S ribosomal RNA". The record is from RNAcentral. Lineage: Eukaryota; Fungi; Ascomycota; Dothideomycetes; Botryosphaeriales; Botryosphaeriaceae.
CCUCGGAUCAGGUAGGGAUACCCGCUGAACUUAAGCAUAUA